GAGGAGGGAUGCGACCGGCCGCUGGAGCAGAAAAAAAGCGGCUGAGAACAGCAGAGGAACAGCGGGCGGAGUGAACACAGCCUCCGGCAGCUCCGACCGGCCUCUGUCCGCGCAGCCCGGAGCCCAGCCCAGCCCCGGAGCCCGAAACCCGGCCCUCAGGAUAUUUAUAGAAAUGAUCUUCACCAUCAUCAGCUGAAGAGCAGCUCCCUCCUGCAGCUCCACACAGAACAACAUGGAGACCGGAGCGGGGGUCGCCCUGUGGACCAUCCUGCUGCUGCUGCUGACCGCCGCGUCUGAUCUGAACGGUGAUUCCACUGCAUCUCCUCCAUCCCUGACCCUUAAUAAUGUCAUCUCCACCGCUUCUCAUCUGACCCCAAAAACGGACAUUGUGGAGGUCCAGUCUGGUCCAGCCCACACUGAGACUUUACACCCUGCAGAGACAACACUCCCUCCUUCAUCAGAGCUGAACACACAGACUGCCAGCAGGAUGGAUACCUCACCUCCCCCAGCCAGUACACACACACCUGGACUAGGUCUUGAGACAGAGGCCACACAGGCUUCUGCAGAUACGAGUCCACCUCUCAUCUCAGUGAGGAGCACGGCUGUUACUCCAGGAUCCAUGAUAACUCUUUCUGCUGCAGCAUCCACAACUUCUACUGCCAGUGCCUCUGAGACGAUUCCAACAACUUCUUCAGGUCCUUCUUCCAGACCUGCUUCUACUCUGACUGCCCUGAUAGACAGAAUCCAGCCUUCAGGACCUGUUCCUCUGGAGAACCCACAUCAGGAUGGACCUUCUGAACUGGAUGUUGGAGAUGAAGAUUCAUCCAAAGUGCCUCACGCCUCUCCGUGGGAUCCCCUCCUCGCUGCUCUGGUCUCCAUCUUCAUCGUCAGCACUGCCCUGGUCUCCAUCAUGCUCUUCCUCAGGUUUCGGCAGCAAAGUGAGCACCCAGAGUUCCAUCGACUGCAGGACCUCCCCAUGGAUGACCUCUUGGAGGACACGCCUUUGUCAAGAUACUCGUAUUAAGAAGAUACUCAGGACCACUGUUUUCAUACUGAAGACCCUCAGGCCACUGAAGCCGCUGUUAAAGGUCCUAAGAACCAAAUGAGGCACUGCUUGGAUCUCCUAGUUUUACAGUUUUACAGAAAUAGCCAUACAGUAAACACUACACAGAACACCAUACUACAAGUAUGCAGACACCUUUUCUAAUGAAAUAAUUCAGCUGCACAUGUUGUUAACACAGGCAUACGCUUAGUUUUAUAAUCUAGAAUAAGAAAAAGAUAGAUUAGAGCGUAAUGGUCUGUAGUUGCCAGACAUUAACCUGAAACCACCAUGUUUCCAAAACGGGCAUUAAGCUUAGUCUCAGACUACACAGUAUUUUGAAUUAAGAUUUUCUAUUAGAAGGAAAAUAUAGUCUAUAUGACUUUCCAGGAAACCCACCUUAAGUGAGAUCCAUCACAUAUAGAACAUGUUUCUCGAGUGGGAUAUUCUUAAAACUGCAAAAAAUGGCAAAAUCUUGGCAGGUAAAGUUCUAUAAAUGGUCCAAAUAUCUUGUAACACAAUAUUAUACAUGAUACAAUACACUAAAUAAAGUAAUACUAAAAAUAUAUAAAGCUCUGGAAAAAAAUAAGAGACCACCUCAGAUUCUCUGGUCUCAUUUACAGCAUUUAUUUGCAGAAAAUGAGAAAUGGCUGAAAUAACAAAAAAGAUGCAGAGCUUUCAGACCUCAAAUAAUGCAAAGAAAACAAGUUCAUAUUCAUAAAGUUUUAAGAAAUCAAUAUUUGGUGGAAGAACUGGUGGUUUUUAAUCACAGUUUUUUUUGUGCAUCUUGGCAUCAUGUUCUCCUCCACCAGUCUUACACACUGCUUUUGGAUAACUUUAUGCCUUUUACACUCCUGGCGCAAAAAAUCAAGCAGUUCAGUUUAUUUUGGUUUGAUGGCUUGUGAUCAUCCAUCUUCCUCUGGAUUCUGUUUCAGAGGUUUUCAAUUUGAUAAAAAUCAACAUUUUUUCCAGAGCUGUAUAUAAAUAUAUACAAUAUUAUUAGAACUAGCAUCCAGAAUUCCUCUGGAAGUUCUAAUAGUGUUUUUUAUCUGUACUUAUACUUAUAUAGUGGAGCUAUAAGGUAUAACUAACUGUAGGCUUUUCUGUUAUUUUGGGGGAGUUACCUAAAACACAUUGACUGAUUCUAUGGAUUGGAAAUACCUGUGUUUGUUUUUUUGUUGUUUGGUUGAUUUUUUAAUUGUUUGCUUUUGUUCUUAAAGCGGCUCCUGCGUUUCUCAGAAAGUGGAUAAUGAUUAGAAGUGUAAAACAGGGGUUUCUGGUUUUGAGUUUGAGGGCAGGUGUGUACAGUACUGAGGUAUUGGGAUCAUUACCCAACUUAAUCUUGUGUAGAAAUUCAUCAGAACGAGCUCGGGCAGUUUUUAAGGACUUCACCGCAAUUAAGUCAUGAGAAUUUUUUUAACCACUAAACUGUUUCCUAGCCCCAAACCAUAAUUAUUUUCUUCGGUUAGGUUGUUUCAUAUGAAUUCCUGAGUUUCUUAAUAAGUUUCUCCAUGAAUAAAUGACAGAGCUCUCCUCACUUUCUCUGAUGAAGAGGUGUUAAUAUGUUCAGAAUUACAGAUCUUGCCCCACAAAAACUCUGGGAAUAUGAAAGCAGAAGAGCAGCCCCAGAAUGCUGGUUAAGCCUUUAAAGCAUGGUGGUCACUGUAAUAAACCACAUCGUUUUUCUUAUUUUUCGCUCUGCAAUCUUGUUGUGUUUAAAGAGGAAAUCUCUACAUUUCCUGAAAACUUUAACUGUUUUCUGAGGACAGUUAAAAAUGGGAAGUGACAGGAAGUGAUAGUUUUCUUGCAAUGCUGUGUCUGGCUCUCCUAACACUGGUGUUUUGAGCAGCAUAAAGAAUAUUGUACGUACUUAUUUAAAAAAUUAAUCAGAGCAAGGAAAACUUCCCAGUCUGAUACUGUUAUUAUAUAAAUCACACGUGAUACAAUCACAAUAUGAUCAGGAGAUCACAGGUUGGAAUCCCGGUAAUGCAGCUUGCCAUCAGCUGCCGGAGCCCUGAGAGAGCACCAUUGUCCUUGCUCUCUCUGGGUGGGUACAGUAGAUGGCUUUCCCCUCAUCACUCCUAGGGUGAUGUGGAUCAGCACAAGGCUGCGUCUAUGAGCUGAUGUAUCAGAACAGAGUUGCUGCCCUUUCCUCCGAGUGUUAGCGCUGUGAUGCUACUCGGCAAUGCUACAGCAUCAGGAGCAGUUCAAACAGAGGCGGAGUCUGACUUCACAUGUACUCUCCUUGUGUUCUGUGGAAUCACUAGUAAUGGGGGAUAUACAGCUGAGUAGCAGCUGAAUGGGUUGAACAAUUGGCCAGAUACAUCAGGCGAAAAACGGGAAAAAAUUGAAAUAAACAAAGCUUAAUUUUGGAUAAAAUAUAAAAAAAAGGUUGGAUUGUCUCAAUAUUAACCCUGUUUUAAUUUUCAAUCUUGUCACGCUGAGUUUAAACCCAUUAUUUUAUAGUUUUAUUAUUUAAAUUUGAAGAUAAGAAGAAAUCUGAUGAAAUGUUUAUUAAACUGUAUGUUUAUUAAAGAACAGUCUGAAAAAAAUAAUUAAAAAGUCUGAUAAAAUCUUAACGCUUAUGAAUCAUUUUCAUAAAAUAUGUAAUAUAAUUUACUUGAAUAUCUUUUCAGAUCGUAAAUACCCAAAAUAUGAUCCAAAAAGCACCGGUGUUAGAAAAUCACCCACUUCCCAGAUUAGUUAAUCUGACAUUUAAAGGGUUAAAAUAAAUCUGUAUAAAUUAAAUAACUACUAUGUGUUUCUUGUGCAAUUAGAGAAUUUCGUAUUUUGUUGUAUUGACCACAAAAACACCACUGCUGAUGUCUUUCCAUGAAACGCAGUAGGUCUGUGCAGCAUGACGAGGCGCGGCAGAUGGCUCUGAGCGCUUCUGCUUUUAAGUUUUGAUUUUACACAAAGAAAAACCUCAAGCUCCCAGUGGAGGAGGAAAGCUGUGAUUUCUCCAUGAGACUACAGACAAUUGUACCUUUUUAAUAGCACAUUAUCUCAAAAAAUGAACAACUAGCCCAACAUUACAGGCCUUCAGAACAUCCUUUAGAUUUCCAGGCCAUAUUAGCUAUUUUCAUUAUUUUUCUCAUCUCUAAAUUUCCAUUUUUUCGUUUAAAGGUAAACUCAUCAAAAAUGAAGAUUUGCAAGAAAAAAACUUUCACUUCUCCAGGGCAUGCAUUUUAGCAAAUGUUUCAAAUUUCCAGUCUCUACGUUUUCAGGUUUAACACCAUAACUAGGAAUUCAAAUUUUGUUAAAAAGUGAAAAUCUGCUCAUUCUCUCAGGUGAUUCAAUAACUACCCACACGCAAAUUUCCACACAUGCUGGGAAACCUAGAACCCUAGAGACUACCAAAAUCCCCAGGAAAUGCUACGUAUUUCUUGUAAAAGCGUGAAGUUAAAGUGUUUUCUCCAUUUUGACAUGCUGCAAAUCUGGUAGUAUUUAUAUUUAUUUUGUGUCAUUGUGUCAAAUUCAUGAUGAAUGAAUCAAAAGAAAUGUUUCAAAUUACUUUAA
Astyanax mexicanus (Mexican tetra) is the source of this 4558-nucleotide RNA transcript. It is a transcript of the gene named platelet glycoprotein Ib alpha chain, with no coding region annotated. The record is from RefSeq and is a predicted model, not a curated record. NCBI's taxonomy places the organism in Eukaryota, Metazoa, Chordata, Actinopteri, Characiformes, Acestrorhamphidae. The transcript has 6 exons.